Molecule: non-coding RNA, 214 nt
Organism: Caenorhabditis elegans
Lineage: Eukaryota; Metazoa; Nematoda; Chromadorea; Rhabditida; Rhabditidae
Source: Ensembl
UUGGUAGAGAAGAGCAUGCACCAAAAGGCAUACACAUUGGGAGUUCCAUUAAAAAGCGGAAAAAGAAAAAGGGAGGGGUAGGGGCACAAAUCGGAAGAUAAAGCCAGCAUGGCAGGCGGCAAAGAAGAGUCAUGAAUAAUUAAUAUUUACAAUUGGAAUAUUUGAAACUACUUAGACUGAAUUGGAAUUCAUAGAUUUUUAGGUUUUUUGCAGG